Molecule: long non-coding RNA, 814 nt
Organism: Vidua chalybeata
Lineage: Eukaryota; Metazoa; Chordata; Aves; Passeriformes; Viduidae
Exons: 2
Source: RefSeq, a predicted model, not a curated record
AAGCCUUACAUUCUCCAGUAAUUUCAAUAUCAUAAACCUACUACUAUUCUGUUAUGGCAGCCUUAAUUCUACAGUUCUCCAUAGCCAGAUCCAACACUUAGAAAUAUCCAUUCUAUCAAAAUUCAAGUGCAGUGGCUGCAUUAAAAUCUUGCUCCUGCUCAAACCUGACAGUGACCAAAUCACAUUGUGAGACUCAGCCUUGUACUCAGAGCAGCAGAAGCCAUUUCUGGGCAGGCUGUGGGUUCACCCUCUGCCUGCAGCCAUCCCAAAAGCCCAUUUCACUCUCACAGAAUCAUCAGGAGGAAAAAGGUCUGUAAUGUCAUAGAGUCCAGCUGUUAACUCAGCACCACCUUGUUCACCACUAAACCUACCUUCAAAUACCACAUCUGCAUGGCUUUUGGACAUUUCCAGGAUGGAGAUCCCACCACCACCCUGGGCAGCCUGUUCCAACACCUGACCACACUUUCAGGGAAGGAAUUUUCCUUAACAUCCAGUGUAAACUCUCCCCGGUGCAUCUUGAGAUGACACUUACAAAAGAAAAUAGAAGUAAAAAAGUAGAGCUUUACAAUCUACACAGAGAAACAUCGCUAAGGAGGACAGCAGAGUUAUACUAUUCAACCAGGUGAUGUAACAGGGCUGGUACUCAGCAUAUGCUACCAGAACCAAUGAUAUGUGAUGAUUUGAAUUCAUAUUUUAUGUUCUUUUCCUGAUUCUGUGUAUGUAAACAGCCAAGUUCAUAGUAGAAACUGCUAGACUGAACCAGAAAUUAUCUGAAUGACUUAGUUAUAUAACUAAAUAAAUUUAAUAAAGCUUU